CCCCCGCCGCGCGCGCACGCCUGACGUCAGCGGCCAGCGUGAGUCACGCGCGCAGGGAGAGCGCGAGGCGGCCUUUCCCUCCCCCCUUCGUACUGCGGCCCGGCCCAGACCGGUUCCAACCUGCUGGGGCCGGUCCCAACUGCCUCCAACUGCCACAAACCUCUGGUCGGGCCUUGGGGGCGGGAAACUCGGUCCCGGCUGCUGAGUGGGGAAGGCGGGCGCUUGGGAUGCGGAGUGCACACAUCUCAGGCCGGGCCUUCGAGGCCUGACUGUUCCUCAGACCGUAAAACCACAGUACCAGGCUCUCUGGGGGCGAUACAAAGUCCAAGACCCGAGCCAGAUGAGUUCCGUAGGUGCCAGCCCCAGAAGCGCCGGUGAAUGAGGAUUAGCGUGAAGUCCUGUCAGGAGAUGCCAAGUACCGUGCACAGGAGGCCUUUGUGUCCACAAGGCCACGCUUGUCUGAGUCCACUUAGACAGUUAACUUAGGUAAACAAGCAAAGACGGGCUCCUGUCGACCAUUCCCUUUCCGAGCUAUGCUGACCCAGCCCGAGUCCAGGACCCCCGGGGUGAUGGGGUCCAAGCAGGUCCGCAGGCCCAGCCGAAAUGUGGCAUCACAGGGAACCCCAAAAGUUGACACUGCGAGAGCCCAGUAACAUGGAAGACCUCUUCCUGGGGAAUCUGCUUGGGUCUAAGGCUAUGUUAGAUACUAAAGAAGGCUUCCCCACAAUCCAUAAGCAUCUGCUUUGACUGAUGGUUUCUAUCAACCUACAAAGACUGACUUAUUGGUGAGGGCAGCUGGACAACUCUGAGAGCAACUUAGAGAAAUCCAUCUUGGGCACACUCUAUAAAGGAGCUCCUUCUCUGGAAAUAGCACCCCAGAUAAGUGCACAAAAGCAAGAUACCCUCGUGGACCUACUUCCUCCCGCUUUCAACACCCUGAUGCCUGAAGUGUGUAGAGUUUGACAACAGUUAUCAAGAACUGAUGAGGAGGAGAAGAUGGAAAAGAGUCUAGCAACUUAAAAAUCUCAUAGCGUUUUCUGUGAGACGAUCUUUUUCCUGUUGGUUGCUCAAUUUAUUUAGGACGUAAAGAAGAUACUGAGGCCUGUGACAGUAACAUCAUGCCGUACCUGAGCUUAUUGAAAUAUUUCCUCCCUUUCCUUAUUCUUUAUAUCACAGUUUGCUUUUCACAUUCAUGAAUUGACUAAUAGGAAACAUAUUGGUAUUUAAAACACAGUAUGGUCACCUUAAGUUCUAACAAAAUGGCUUCUAAUGAGGGGGCCGAUAGCCCAAGUUUCUGCUUUCUUACGGAAUUUUGGCCUGUUCACAAAACUACCCUCACUGAAGGAAGGUGGUCGUGUUCAGGGAAGAAGAGGUUGAUAAAACCUUUGGCCUGGUGUUUUGUGACUUAAAAGUCAUAGUUUUUAUCUAAGUGUUUAUUAAUUUUGGUGAAAACAUUACUCUGUCUUCUUAAUGUCACUUUUAUUGCUAAGAGGUUUAGGCAUUUGGUGACCUGUCACUUCAGGAUUUGUGUGAAUCAAACCUAAUCAAAUCUAAUUUAGAGACCAAUAUUUGUAUUAUUUAAGAAAAACAAAAAACUUAAAGUUUACUGUUGCUUUAGGAGUAUUCUAUAACCAGUACAUAAAAUGUGUAUUAAAUAUAUAGUAGAGCAUGUUAAAAUUAACAUUUCUGUUUUUAUUUUAGUAACUUAUUUUGUCAUAUUGUAAUACCACCUGUCAAAAACUUUCCCUAAUAUAGUCUAAACUGCUUCUAGAGAGACACCUAGGCCGAUUUGCUACUACCUUUGGUUUUGCUUUAGCUCAAUUAAAGCUUAGUUAAGACUUACUAAGAGCACUGCUCCAGAGCCAGACCAGCUGGGUAGGAAGCCCAGCUCUGCCACCUCCUGGUUGUGGGAUCUUGGACAACUGACUUACCCUUGAAGCAUCAGUUUCCUGGGGAUACCUGUAGAGCCCGACUCGCGAAUGAGUUAAUAUCUGUAAGGUGCUUAAGACAGUGCCUGGCACUUACCACAGCCUAAGUAUUAUUCUUACCAAAAUUUGAACAAGUCCUGAGUCACUGCUUUCAGUUGGAUUGCUACCUCCUUAAGCAGCCUUUGUCAAAUGCCUUCUUUAGCUGCACCCAUGCUAAAACAUUCUUCAGUUCAUAGCCCACGCCUGGAUCAGUGUUGUCUUCCAGAGCACAAUCCUCUCUUCCCCAUCCGUUCGCAUUUUCUUCAGUCUCCGUUCUUUGUACAGCCUCCAUCACCUGCUUGUAUGGUACAUGAUGUAUCUAAAUCGAUCCACUUCUAUGGGGCCAAAUACUUUGUUAUACAGAAAACUGCAUAUAAAAUAACCUAUCAAUUUAAAUGGGUACACUAAAAUGUUCCUAAAUUAGAGGUUUUGCAGGCCAGUUAUGCCAUAGUGAAUACAAAAAGGCAAUAACAUGCCUUCAACCAAGGAGCAGAUAGAGUAAGAUCUUAAGGCCAGUAUGAACUUCCUAGAGACCAUGAAACUAUUCUAAUGCACAGACACAUACACAGGCACCCACAGGACAAGUGUUACAGAUAUUUAAGCAAGCAAAUGGCAUGUUAUUGGAUCAAAGGCUGACUUUAAAGGUUCAGACUCAGAAAUCCACUAGACAUUUACUUCAUUUGUCUGAAUAGUACUAUCUGAGCUUCCUUUUUCUGCCACAGAAAAAUGUUCUAAACCAGUAUCACUUCAGAAGAUUUGGAAACCAAAUCUCCAUGGCUGGAUAGCAGUUCAUCAGAAUUGUCCAAAUAUUUGCCCACCACCAAUUUCAGCUUUAUUUGGCCUUGUUUUUAAAAGUCAUUUUUGGUGACUGUCACUGGUGUGGUUAUUGUUACAAAGUUAUAUGGUUUCUGGGUUAUAUUUGAUGUCAAAACAUAAUGUGUAUGUGUGUCCUUAUAAACAUCACAUCUAGAACUGCUAGUGAUUUACCUAUCAGCUCUUCAAAAAUGAGGAAACAUUUUCAGCAAAUUGUAAGAAAUAUAUUCAUAGUUGGACACAUAAUUAGGAUUCCUAAUCCAUUCUUUGUAUGUCUUACAAUAUUCUCAUCAAAGUUACAAAAUAUAUUUUAUUCUCAAAUUUAAAAAUGAAGAAUCUUUGAUAAACCAUCAACUGUGAGCUCUAUGACAAAAUUUCUUUUGAGGAGUUAUAUAUGGGGAAGAAAAGAAGUAACUAGUAGGGUUAAUAUGAAUAUGCAAAACAAGAUUACAGAUAAAUGCCAUUUGGGUCUACAGAUACUACAACAAUCUUUAACAUUGACUUUUUUUCCUUUCCUCUGAGGCUAGUUGCAGAAUCGUAUCAUGUGUUUAGAUUUCAAUAAAGAAUGUUUAAGAACAGGGCCCUUUCUUGCAUUUUCCAUGAUAAAACUUGUAUGUUUGUUUAAAAAUACGAAAUUCAGUUUUUAAUGAACUAGCUGGAAUAAAGUUGAACACUGGUGGUUUAUUAGGGAUGGAGGCAGAUCUGUCAAGUUGCCAGGUCUCUACCAGGUGCUGUGCAAGGCUGGUGAGUGACAACCACUGACUGGCAGAGGGGCAGCUCUCCAGGAACAGGUGCUUCCUCAAGCUCGCUGGCCCCUCUAGCUAUAAAAUCAUGACCCGUGUCCUCCAGGCUGAGGGGCAUCUGGAGUGAGUGUAUUCUGUCGGCUUAACCGUUUUGUCAGGCUCACAUCUUGCUUUUCACUAAGGGGGUGAUGCACACCACUGGGCAGGGUCAGGGAAUCCCUCACAGCAGAGAAGAAGCCGGAAGGGUGAUCCAUACAAAAGGAACAACAUGAUCGAAAGUGUGGAGAUGUGAGGCCGGGAUGUGAUGUGUUGGAGAAUGCCAACUCUUUAGAGCAGGGGUCAGCAAACUGACCUGCUUGCCACAUCCAGCCUGCUGUCUGCUUUUGUGUGGCCUGUGAACUAAGAAUGUUUUUUACAUUUUUUAGUGGUUGAAAAAAAGAUUUCAUGACACGUAAAAAUUAUGAAAUUCAGAUUUCAGUGUUCAUAAAUAAACUUUUAUCGGAACCCACGCUCAUUCAUUUACAUAUCUGUGGCUGCUUUCUUUCACACUGUAACAGCCGAGUUGAGUGGUUGUGACAGAGAUCAUAUGUGUCAUUCAUCACUUUGCGGCUUGGUGCAUUACAAAUCGUGCUGACCCAGUUAUAAUUCGCAAGUGUUUCCAGGGCCAUGUGCAUCAGCCUACCACAACUUUUAUUUUUUAUUACUAAUGCAUGUUUCAAAAUGAGAAGAGAAAAAUGGACUUGGAAUGUUAUACUUUUAAGGUACAGUGGAGUGUAGAUUGUUUUGUUAUCAAAAUAGAUGGUAAAACAUCAUGUUUAUUAUGCAAUUACACUAUAGCUGAGCUAAAAGAAUACUUCAUUACCAGGUUAAGCACUCAUCACAGUAUUCUCAACUCCCAGGAAAGCAGUGAUGAGACAAAUUAGAAAAUUUAAAAGAAUAUCUCAUCAGCAGAAUUCUUCACAGAAAAAAGAAAACAAGGCUACAACUGAAGUAAGUUUCCAAGCAAUUCAUUUGUUAGCCAAGCAAAGAAAACUGUUUACCGAUGUUGAGUUAAUUGUGUUUGCAGCAGCUGAAGAAGUGUGUCCACAGAAAAUAAACUUAAGACUUUUAGCUUUUCACAAGAACAGUUUCUCGAAGAGUUAAGGACAUAGGUCAGGAAUGAUCUCAGUCAAUUUUAAAGCAAGGCAGAUGAUUUCUUGUGGUUUUCCUUGGCUCUUGAUAUGACAGGUGUUACUGUUACAAUAAAUAAAUUGUUAUUCCUGGAGUCAUUGCCAAGUUUGAAGUGACUGAAAAUUAGCUUCUAUGAAGAGUCUACUUGGAACAACUGCAGGAGAGAAUCUUUUCAGAGUUAAGAAAACAAAGUCUACCCUGAAGUAUAAUCUGCUAAGUGUUAAACUGAUGUGGAACAGAAAAAGGUUCUGUUGGACAGAUUUACAAAGGUUGUGAAAAAGUAAGGGGUUGUGCCAGUUUGGAUGUAUUAUGUCCCCUCAAACGCCGUUAUCUUUAAUGCAGUCUUGUGGGGGCAGACAUAUUAAUGUGGAUUAGGUUGGAAC
Long non-coding RNA from Choloepus didactylus (southern two-toed sloth), 5076 nucleotides. RefSeq lists it as uncharacterized. NCBI's taxonomy places the organism in Eukaryota, Metazoa, Chordata, Mammalia, Pilosa, Megalonychidae. The record is from RefSeq and is a predicted model, not a curated record. The transcript has 3 exons.